This 1210-nucleotide unclassified non-coding RNA is filed under the name Hevea brasiliensis (rubber tree). The record is from RNAcentral. Lineage: Eukaryota; Viridiplantae; Streptophyta; Magnoliopsida; Malpighiales; Euphorbiaceae.
AUUUUAACUAAACACGUAACUGUUUAAAAUUUUAAGUGCUUAUAAGCUUAAAUUAAGCGCCAGGUGCUUAUAAGUUAAGUCAAACACCCUCUUAGAAGUUGCAUUGUACAAAAUUACUAGCAACUAGUUUAUGAAUAAUAUAAAUAUAACUCUUUAAGGAUAGGGGGUAUUGUAUGAUAUUCCUUAUAAACUUUUUUGGACCAUAAUGCUAAGCUUCUCGGAUCUUUGAAAUUGACAUUCUUGAGUUCUUUUUUUGCAUCAGAAUAAUACUUGUACUUGUAAAUGGUAAUUGAUGAAUAGUACCAUUAAUAGUAAUGAUUAGCAUCGCUCAUGAUAAAUAAAGAAUUUAGGCUUCUCACCUAAAAAUAUAUACUUAAAACUCUUAUUUGAGUCUGACGGAAAAAUAUUCUAGAAACAUUUUGUUCAUUUUUCCGUGUCCAGGAAACUUGGUAAAUAAAUAUGUUUUUAUGCUUAAAAGGGAAAACUAGCCGGUUUCAAUAAAAAUGGCAUGUUUUCAUAAUGUGAAGUAAUCUUUUGAACAUAUUACAAACUCAUAAAAAGAGAAGAUCCUAUGAAGAGGAUCAAUAGCCACACAUCCAUUAUUUUACUACUAUUAGAAUGCUAGCUUUAUGAUUACUGUGAUUAUGUGAGUGAUUGUGUGCUAUGAUCUUGAGAGUAAAUUUAGGUUGUAAUUAUGUAAUCUUCUAUAUUAGUGUAUCAACAAAAGAUUAGGCAAUUUUUCCCACAUUCUUCCUUUAUUUUUCUUCUCACAUUUUUCCUCUAUUUUUCUUUUUUUUGUUUUAGUUUUACAUGGUACUAGAGCCUUAAGGUUUGAUCCUUUGUCCCUUUUUUCUUCGCCUAUUCUUGCUCUAAGAAACAAAAACAAACAAAACUACCAAUCAAUGAACUUUUGAGAAACAAAUAGACUCACCACAUAUCCCAUCAGCCUUCCUAGAUGCCGAUCGACCCUUGCCCAAGACUUUUUGUGCUUUCACUCGCUAUAGAGUUUCUAAUGUAUUGUUACUAUGUUUUGCAAGGGCUGUAAAUAUUGAUAAUUGCAUAUGCAUUGAUGGUAAUGGCAAAUUAGUAAAUGUUUUCAUGUUGAUUUCUACAAUAGUUACAGUGCUCUCCAUAUUUACUUUGUCAUUUAUUUAUAAGUUGCCUGAGAAAGCUAAAUUGUAAUUUCAGGUUGAGCAAAAGAAGAAGAGAU